Molecule: ribosomal RNA, 1432 nt
Filed under: uncultured organism
Description: 16S ribosomal RNA
Rfam family: Bacterial small subunit ribosomal RNA
Source: RNAcentral
UGCUUAACACAUGCAAGUCGAACGGAAAGGCCCUGCUUUUGUGGGGUGCUCGAGUGGCGAACGGGUGAGUAACACGUGAGUAACCUGCCCUUGACUUUGGGAUAACUUCAGGAAACUGGGGCUAAUACCGGAUAGGAGCUCCUGCUGCAUGGUGGGGGUUGGAAAGUUUCGGCGGUUGGGGAUGGACUCGCGGCUUAUCAGCUUGUUGGUGGGGUAGUGGCUUACCAAGGCUUUGACGGGUAGCCGGCCUGAGAGGGUGACCGGCCACAUUGGGACUGAGAUACGGCCCAGACUCCUACGGGAGGCAGCAGUGGGGAAUAUUGCACAAUGGGCGGAAGCCUGAUGCAGCAACGCCGCGUGCGGGAUGACGGCCUUCGGGUUGUAAACCGCUUUCGCCUGUGACGAAGCGUGAGUGACGGUAAUGGGUAAAGAAGCACCGGCUAACUACGUGCCAGCAGCCGCGGUGAUACGUAGGGUGCGAGCGUUGUCCGGAUUUAUUGGGCGUAAAGGGCUCGUAGGUGGUUGAUCGCGUCGGAAGUGUAAUCUUGGGGCUUAACCCUGAGCGUGCUUUCGAUACGGGUUGACUUGAGGAAGGUAGGGGAGAAUGGAAUUCCUGGUGGAGCGGUGGAAUGCGCAGAUAUCAGGAGGAACACCAGUGGCGAAGGCGGUUCUCUGGGCCUUUCCUGACGCUGAGGAGCGAAAGCGUGGGGAGCGAACAGGCUUAGAUACCCUGGUAGUCCACGCUGUAAACGGUGGGUACUAGGUGUGGGGUCCAUUCCACGGGUUCCGUGCCGUAGCUAACGCUUUAAGUACCCCGCCUGGGGAGUACGGCCGCAAGGCUAAAACUCAAAGGAAUUGACGGGGCCCCGCACAAGCGGCGGAGCAUGCGGAUUAAUUCGAUGCAACGCGUAGAACCUUACCUGGGUUUGACAUGGAUCGGGAGUGCUCAGAGAUGGGUGUGCCUCUUUUGGGGUCGGUUCACAGGUGGUGCAUGGCUGUCGUCAGCUCGUGUCGUGAGAUGUUGGGUUAAGUCCCGCAACGAGCGCAACCCUUGUUCACUGUUGCCAGCACGUUAUGGUGGGGACUCAGUGGAGACCGCCGGGGUCAACUCGGAGGAAGGUGGGGAUGACAUCAAGUCAUCAUGCCCCUUAUGUCCAGGGCUUCACGCAUGCUACAAUGGCUGGUACAGAGAGUGGCGAGCCUGUGAGGGUGAGCGAAUCUCGGAAAGCCGGUCUCAGUUCGGAUUGGGGUCUGCAACUCGACCUCAUGAAGUCGGAGUCGCUAGUAAUCGCAGAUCAGCAACGCUGCGGUGAAUACGUUCCCGGGGCUUGUACACACCGCCCGUCAAGUCAUGAAAGUUGGUAACACCCGAAGCCGGUGGCCUAACCGUUGUGGGGGAGCCGUCGAAGGUGGGACUGGUGAUUAGGACUAA